UAAAGAAUUUCGGUCAUCGAUGGGGAUGCGUUCCAUUAGCUUGUUGGCGGGGUAACGGCCCACCAAGGCAUCGAUGGAUAGGGGUUCUGAGAGGAAGGUCCCCCACAUUGGAACUGAGACACGGUCCAAACUCCUACGGGAGGCAGCAGUGAGGAAUAUUGGUCAAUGGGCGCUAGCCUGAACCAGCCAAGUAGCGUGAAGGAUGACUGCCCUAUGGGUUGUAAACUUCUUUUAUAUGGGAAUAAAGUGCAGUAUGUAUACUGCUUUGCAUGUACCUUAUGAAUAAGGAUCGGCUAACUCCGUGCCAGCAGCCGCGGUAAUACGGAGGAUCCGAGCGUUAUCCGGAUUUAUUGGGUUUAAAGGGAGCGUAGGCGGGUUGUUAAGUCAGUUGUGAAAGUUUGCGGCUCAACCGUAAAAUUGCAGUUGAUACUGGCAUCCUUGAGUACAGUAGAGGUAGGCGGAAUUCGUGGUGUAGCGGUGAAAUGCUUAGAUAUCACGAAGAACUCCGAUUGCGAAGGCAGCCUGCUGGACUGUAACUGACGCUGAUGCUCGAAAGUGUGGGUAUCAAACAGGAUUAGAUACCCUGGUAGUCCACACAGUAAACGAUGAAUACUCGCUGUUUGCGAUAUACAGCAA
Molecule: ribosomal RNA, 636 nt
Filed under: uncultured bacterium
Lineage: Bacteria
Description: bacterial SSU rRNA
Rfam family: Bacterial small subunit ribosomal RNA
Source: RNAcentral